CUACGGGGUGCUCCAGUGGGGAAUAUUGCACAAUGGAGGAAACUCUGAUGCAGCAACGCCGCGUGGAGGAUGACACUUUUCGGAGCGUAAACUCCUUUUAUAUAGGAAGAUAAUGACGGUACUAUAUGAAUAAGCACCGGCUAACUCCGUGCCAGCGGCCGCGGUAAUACGGAGGGUGCAAGCGUUACUCGGAAUCACUGGGCGUAAAGAGCGUGUAGGCGGGUUAAUAAGUCAGAAGUGAAAUCCUAUGGCUCAACCAUAGAACUGCUUUUGGAACUGUUAACCUAGAGUGUGGGAGAGGUAGAUGGAAUUUCUGGUGUAGGGGUAAAAUCCGUAGAGAUCAGAAGGAAUACCGAUUGCGAAGGCGAUCUACUGGAACAUAACUGACGCUGAGACGCGAAAGCGUGGGGAGCAAACAGGAUUAGAUACCCGGGUAGUC
This 439-nucleotide ribosomal RNA is filed under the name uncultured bacterium. Its description in RNAcentral is "partial 16S ribosomal RNA". It matches the Rfam family "Bacterial small subunit ribosomal RNA", at positions 339 to 795 of the family's 1533-position model. The record is from RNAcentral.